CCAAUAGCGUAUAUUAAAGUUGUUGCAGUUAAAAAGCUCGUAGUUGAAUUUUGGAUUCUUCCAAUUGGUCCAUCUUUUAGAUGAGUACUGGUUGUGUGGGGUCUAUCCGCCUGGUAAUACGUAAUGUCCUUUAUUGGAUGUUGCGGGUAGUCAGGACCUUUACCUUGAAAAAAUUAGAGUGUUUAAAGCAGGCUUAUGCCGGAAUACAUUAGCAUGGAAUAAUAGAAUAGUACGAAGUUGUUUUAUUUUGUUGGUUUCUAGGACAACCGUAAUGAUUAAUAGGGAUAGUUGGGGGCAUUAGUAUUCAAUUGUCAGAGGUGAAAUUCUUGGAUUUAUUGAAGACUAACUACUGCGAAAGCAUUUGCCAAGGAUGUUUUCAUUAAUCAAGAACGAAAGUUAGGGGAUCGAAGACGAUCAGAUACCGUCGUAGUCUUAACCAUAAACUAUGCCGACUAGGGAUCGGGCGAUGUUGUUUCCAUGACUCGCUCGGCACCUUAUG
This 499-nucleotide ribosomal RNA is filed under the name uncultured Glomeromycotina. Its description in RNAcentral is "partial small subunit ribosomal RNA". It matches the Rfam family "Eukaryotic small subunit ribosomal RNA", at positions 591 to 1092 of the family's 1831-position model. The record is from RNAcentral. Lineage: Eukaryota; Fungi; Glomeromycota.